UAAAGUGCGAUAUAUAGUGCGAUUUGCAUGAACCUGUGAGUCAUCGAGUUUUUGAACGCAACUUGCACCCGUAAGGGUAUGUCCCUUUGAGUACAGUAUCCACCAUGUUGGAUGAUGACUCUUGUGUUGUGUUAAUAUUUGACACAUAUAGUCAGUCUCAUCUUAAAGGUAGCGUAAGUUUCAUUAAGGAAUGGUAGCCACAAUUCAGCUAGAGUGUGUGUGUUAGUAGGUGCCUUUUAUUAGGCACACACAUACAUUAACUCUUGUUCUGUCCUACUAAUAUUACCUUACAUUCUAAUAUACCUGUCUCAGAGGGGCAAGAUUACCCGCUGAACUUAA
This 339-nucleotide unclassified non-coding RNA is filed under the name uncultured fungus. RNAcentral describes it as "sequence contains ITS1". The stretch from base 1 to 96 matches the Rfam family "5.8S ribosomal RNA", at positions 49 to 154 of the family's 154-position model. The record is from RNAcentral. Lineage: Eukaryota; Fungi.